This 496-nucleotide ribosomal RNA is filed under the name uncultured bacterium. RNAcentral's name for it is "partial 16S ribosomal RNA". It matches the Rfam family "Bacterial small subunit ribosomal RNA", at positions 29 to 507 of the family's 1533-position model. The record is from RNAcentral.
AUGCACGCUGGCGGCGUGCCUAAUACAUGCAAGUCGAGCGAACAGACGAGGAGCUUGCUCCUCUGACGUUAGCGGCGGACGGGUGAGUAACACGUGGAUAACCUACCUAUAAGACUGGGAUAACUUCGGGAAACCGGAGCUAAUACCGGAUAAUAUAUUGAACCGCAUGGUUCAAUAGUGAAAGACGGUUUUGCUGUCACUUAUAGAUGGAUCCGCGCCGCAUUAGCUAGUUGGUAAGGUAACGGCUUACCAAGGCGACGAUGCGUAGCCGACCUGAGAGGGUGAUCGGCCACACUGGAACUGAGACACGGUCCAGACUCCUACGGGAGGCAGCAGUAGGGAAUCUUCCGCAAUGGGCGAAAGCCUGACGGAGCAACGCCGCGUGAGGGAUGAAGGUCUUCGGAUCGUAAAACUCUGUUAUUAGGGAAGAACAAAUGUGUAAGUAACUAUGCACGUCUUGACGGUACCUAAUCAGAAAGCCACGGCUAACUACGUG